This 494-nucleotide ribosomal RNA is filed under the name uncultured bacterium. RNAcentral describes it as "partial 16S ribosomal RNA". It matches the Rfam family "Bacterial small subunit ribosomal RNA", at positions 28 to 507 of the family's 1533-position model. The record is from RNAcentral.
GACGAACGCUGGCGGCGUGCUUAACACAUGCAAGUCGAACGGAAAGGCCUGCUUUCCCUUGUGGAUUGCGGGUACUCGAGCGGCGAACGGGUGAGUAACACGUGAGUGAUCUGCCCCCAACUUGGGUAUAAGCCUGGGAAACUGGGUCUAAUUCCCGAUAGGACUGCAGGGUGGUGCCUGUGGUGGAAAACGAUUUUCUAGUGGUUGGGGAUGAGCUCGCGGCCUAUCAGCUUGUUGGUGGGGUAAUGGCCUACCAAGGCGGCGACGGGUAGCCGGCCUGGGAGGGUGGACGGCCACAUUGGGACUGAGAUACGGCCCAGACUCCUACGGGAGGCAGCAGUGGGGAAUAUUGCACAAUGGGCGGAAGCCUGAUGCAGCGACGCCGCGUGGGGGAUGACGGCCUUCGGGUUGUAAACUCCUUUCGACCGCGAGGAAGCCACCUGGUUGGAAGGGUGGUGACGGUAGUGGUAGAAGAAGCACCGGCUAACUACGUG